This 498-nucleotide ribosomal RNA is filed under the name uncultured bacterium. RNAcentral describes it as "partial 16S ribosomal RNA". It matches the Rfam family "Bacterial small subunit ribosomal RNA", at positions 30 to 523 of the family's 1533-position model. The record is from RNAcentral.
AUUGAACGCUGGCGGCAUGCCUUACACAUGCAAGUCGAACGGUAACAGGUCUUCGGAUGCUGACGAGUGGCGAACGGGUGAGUAAUACAUCGGAACGUGCCUAGUAGUGGGGGAUAACUACUCGAAAGAGUGGCUAAUACCGCAUGCGAUAUAUGACUGAAAGAAGGGGAUUGAAAGAAACUGUGCUAAUAGAGCGGAUGAUGACAGCUUAAGUAGUUGGUGGGAUAAAAGCUUACCAAGCCUACGAUCUGUAGCUGGUCUGAGAGGACGAUCAGCCACACUGCGACUGAGACACGGCCCGGACUCCUACGGGAGGCAGCAGUGGGGAAUUUUGUACAAUGGGCGAAAGCCUGAUCCAGCAAUGCCGCGUGCAGGAUGAAGGCCUUCGGGUUGUAAACUGCUUUUGUACGGAACGAAAAGCCCCGGGUUAAUACCCUGGGGUCAUGACGGUACCGUAAGAAUAAGCACCGGCUAACUACGUGCCAGCCGCCGCCGUAA